RNAcentral lists this ribosomal RNA (586 nucleotides) under Corynespora cassiicola. RNAcentral describes it as "eukaryotic LSU rRNA". The stretch from base 206 to 359 matches the Rfam family "5.8S ribosomal RNA". Lineage: Eukaryota; Fungi; Ascomycota; Dothideomycetes; Pleosporales; Corynesporascaceae. The record is from RNAcentral.
UGUAUGUAAAUGUCGUAACAAGGUUUCCGUAGGUGAACCUGCGGAAGGAUCAUUAUCGUAGGGGCCUCGCCCCCUUCGAGAUAGCACCCUUUGUUUAUGAGCACCUCUCGUUUCCUCGGCAGGCUCGCCUGCCAACGGGGACCCACCACAAACCCAUUGUAGUACAAGAAGUACACGUCUGAACAAAACAAAACAAACUAUUUACAACUUUCAACAACGGAUCUCUUGGUUCUGGCAUCGAUGAAGAACGCAGCGAAAUGCGAUAAGUAGUGUGAAUUGCAGAAUUCAGUGAAUCAUCGAAUCUUUGAACGCACAUUGCGCCCUUUGGUAUUCCUUAGGGCAUGCCUGUUCGAGCGUCAUUUCAACCCUCAAGCCUAGCUUGGUGUUGGGCGUCUGUCCCGCCUCCGCGCGCCUGGACUCGCCUCAAAAGCAUUGGCGGCCGGUUCCCAGCAGGCCACGAGCGCAGCAGAGCAAGCGCUGAAGUGGCUGCGGGUCGGCGCACCAUGAGCCCCCCCACACCAGAAUUUUGACCUCGGAUCAGGUAGGGAUACCCGCUGAACUUAAGCAUAUCAAUAAGGCGGAGGAA